GCUGGGCAUUUUGGCACAUGCCUGUAAUCUCAACUACUCAGAAGGCUGAGGUAGGAGGAUUGCUUGAGCCCAGGAGGUUGAGGCUGCAGUGAGCUAUGAUCUGCCACUGCAUGCCAGCCUGGACAAUAGAGCGAGACCUUAUCUCUU
Non-coding RNA from Pan troglodytes (chimpanzee), 147 nucleotides. It matches the Rfam family "Metazoan signal recognition particle RNA". Rfam says of the family: The signal recognition particle (SRP) is a universally conserved ribonucleoprotein. It is involved in the co-translational targeting of proteins to membranes. Lineage: Eukaryota; Metazoa; Chordata; Mammalia; Primates; Hominidae. The record is from Rfam.